Molecule: ribosomal RNA, 550 nt
Filed under: uncultured bacterium
Lineage: Bacteria
Description: bacterial SSU rRNA
Rfam family: Bacterial small subunit ribosomal RNA
Source: RNAcentral
UAGGGAAUCUUCGGCAAUGGACGGAAGUCUGACCGAGCAACGCCGCGUGAGUGAAGAAGGUUUUCGGAUCGUAAAGCUCUGUUGUAGGAGAAGAACGAGUGUGAGAGUGGAAAGUUCACACUGUGACGGUAUCUUACCAGAAAGGGACGGCUAACUACGUGCCAGCAGCCGCGGUAAUACGUAGGUCCCGAGCGUUGUCCGGAUUUAUUGGGCGUAAAGCGAGCGCAGGCGGUUAGAUAAGUCUGAAGUUAAAGGCUGUGGCUUAACCAUAGUACGCUUUGGAAACUGUUUAACUUGAGUGCAAGAGGGGAGAGUGGAAUUCCAUGUGUAGCGGUGAAAUGCGUAGAUAUAUGGAGGAACACCGGUGGCGAAAGCGGCUCUCUGGCUUGUAACUGACGCUGAGGCUCGAAAGCGUGGGGAGCAAACAGGAUUAGAUACCCUGGUAGUCCACGCCGUAAACGAUGAGCGCUAGGUGUUAGACCCUUUCCGGGGUUUAGUGCCGUAGCUAACGCAUUAAGCACUCCGCCUGGGGAGUACGACCGCAAGGUUG